AGGGAUCAUUGCUGGAACGCGCCUCGCGGCGCACCCAGAAACCCUUUGUGAACUUAUACCUUUUAUCGUUGCCUCGGCAGGGCCCGGGGGGCGCUUAUGCCCCUCCCAGCUCCGGCUGGAGAAGGCCUGCCGGUGGCCCCGUAAACUCUUGUUUUCUGAACGUACCUCUUCUGAGUAACAAAACAAAAAAUGAAUCAAAACUUUCAACAACGGAUCUCUUGGUUCUGGCAUCGAUGAAGAACGCAGCGAAAUGCGAUAAGUAAUGUGAAUUGCAGAAUUCAGUGAAUCAUCGAAUCUUUGAACGCACAUUGCGCCCGCUGGUAUUCCGGCGGGCAUGCCUGUUCGAGCGUCAUUUCAACCCUCAAGCCCCUGUGCUUGGUGCUGGGGCACAGCCUGUAGAAAGGCUGGCCCUCAAAUUUAGUGGCGAGCUCGCUAAGACUCCGAGCGUAGUAAUUACUUCUCGCUUAGGUUGACUUAGCGGCCCUCUGCCGUAAAACCCCCUAAAUUUUUCUGAAAGUUGACCUCGGAUCAGGUAGGAAUACCCGCUGAACUUAA
RNAcentral lists this ribosomal RNA (555 nucleotides) under Greeneria uvicola. Its description in RNAcentral is "eukaryotic LSU rRNA". The stretch from base 199 to 352 matches the Rfam family "5.8S ribosomal RNA". The record is from RNAcentral. Lineage: Eukaryota; Fungi; Ascomycota; Sordariomycetes; Diaporthales; Melanconiellaceae.